Molecule: transfer RNA, 74 nt
Filed under: Candidatus Omnitrophota bacterium
Lineage: Bacteria; Pseudomonadati; Candidatus Omnitrophota
Description: Candidatus Omnitrophica bacterium tRNA-Gln
Rfam family: tRNA
About the family: Transfer RNA (tRNA) molecules are approximately 80 nucleotides in length. Their secondary structure includes four short double-helical elements and three loops (D, anti-codon, and T loops).
Source: RNAcentral
UGGGUUGUGGUGUAACGGUAGCACGACUGGCUCUGGACCAGUUAGUCUAGGUUCGAAUCCUAGCGACCCAGCCA